GCUACGGCAGUGAAGUCAUUGAUGCCAUGCUUCCAGGAAAAGCCUCUAAGCUUCAGAUAGUCAGGAAUCGUACCCCAAACCGACACAGGUGGUCGGGUAGAGAAUACCAAGGCGCUUGAGAGAACUCGGGUGAAGGAACUAGGCAAAAUGGUACCGUAACUUCGGGAGAAGGUACGCUCUUGAUGGUGAAGUCCCUCGCGGAUGGAGCUGACGAGAGUCGCAGAUACCAGGUGGCUGCAACUGUUUAUUAAAAACACAGCACUGUGCAAAAUCGCAAGAUGACGUAUACGGUGUGACGCCUGCCCGGUGCCGGAAGGUUAAUUGAUGGGGUUAGCGCAAGCGAAGCUCUUGAUCGAAGCCCCGGUAAACGGCGGCCGUAACUAUAACGGUCCUAAGGUAGCGAAAUUCCUUGUCGGGUAAGUUCCGACCUGCACGAAUGGCGUAAUGAUGGCCACGCUGUCUCCACCCGAGACUCAGUGAAAUUGAAAUCGCUGUGAAGAUGCAGUGUACCCGCGGCUAGACGGAAAGACCCCGUGAACCUUUACUACAGCUUGGCACUGAACAUUGAACCUACAUGUGUAGGAUAGGUGGGAGGCUAUGAAGACGUGACGCCAGUUGCGUUGGAGCCGUCCUUGAAAUACCACCCUUGUAUGUUUGAUGUUCUAACUUAGACCCAUUAUCUGGGUUGAGGACAGUGCCUGGUGGGUAGUUUGACUGGGGCGGUCUCCUCCCAAAGAGUAACGGAGGAGCACGAAGGUGGGCUAAUCACGGUUGGACAUCGUGAGGUUAGUGCAAUGGCAUAAGCCCGCUUAACUGCGAGAAUGACGGUUCGAGCAGGUGCGAAAGCAGGUCAUAGUGAUCCGGUGGUUCUGUAUGGAAGGGCCAUCGCUCAACGGAUAAAAGGUACUCCGGGGAUAACAGGCUGAUACCGCCCAAGAGUUCAUAUCGACGGCGGUGUUUGGCACCUCGAUGUCGGCUCAUCACAUCCUGGGGCUGAAGUCGGUCCCAAGGGUAUGGCUGUUCGCCAUUUAAAGUGGUACGCGAGCUGGGUUUAGAACGUCGUGAGACAGUUCGGUCCCUAUCUGCCGUGGGCGUUGGAAGAUUGAAGGGGGCUGCUCCUAGUACGAGAGGACCGGAGUGGACGAACCUCUGGUGUUCGGGUUGUGUCGCCAGACGCAUUGCCCGGUAGCUAAGUUCGGAAUUGAUAAGCGCUGAAAGCAUCUAAGCGCGAAGCGAGCCCUGAGAUGAGUCUUCCCUGAUACUUUAAGUAUCCUAAAGGGUUGUUCGAGACUAGAACGUUGAUAGGCAGGGUGUGUAAGCGUUGUGAGGCGUUGAGCUAACCUGUACUAAUUGCCCGUGAGGCUUAACC
Molecule: ribosomal RNA, 1369 nt
Filed under: Vibrio cholerae 623-39
Lineage: Bacteria; Pseudomonadati; Pseudomonadota; Gammaproteobacteria; Vibrionales; Vibrionaceae
Description: bacterial LSU rRNA
Rfam family: Bacterial large subunit ribosomal RNA
Source: RNAcentral